Molecule: long non-coding RNA, 1035 nt
Organism: Zingiber officinale
Lineage: Eukaryota; Viridiplantae; Streptophyta; Magnoliopsida; Zingiberales; Zingiberaceae
Exons: 3
Source: RefSeq, a predicted model, not a curated record
UUUCUCUUCCCCACCGAAGCCUCAAAACCCCUCUCUUCUUCUUCGUUUUCUUCUCUAGCGGCGACGAACGGCAGAUUUUUCUCCCGUUCUUCUUCUCAAGCAGCCCUCGUUUUCUCCUCCCGCACCUCUUCUCCUCCUCCAGCAAGGGCAGAGCACUGUUUUUUCCUUUGUUUCCUCUUCUCUACUUCUCGGCAGCACUGUUGGAGCUCCUCGGAGUUCGCCGGAGCUCGCCAAACCACCGAGAAAAGAGAGGAAACAAAACCCUAGUUUCUCUCUCCUUUUUCCCCACCAACAGCAGCAUUUUUUGUUGCAUUUUGUUUCCUCCAACAGCAGCCCUAGCUGCUGCCCUAUUCUUGGCAGUACCGUCGGAGUUCGCCGGAGCUAGCUGAGGUGGCCAACGACAAAGGGAAAGUAACCCUAGUUGCUGUCCUCAUUUCCAGCAGCCACAUUAGAAGAUACGAGCUCGAGUGGAGCGCGGUGACCUGCCGACACCCGCAGAUUUUGCUGUAUAUAAGUUUUGCAGACACAUGGAUCCUUUUGAUAUUAUAGUUGAUUUUGGACUUUCAUAGAAUUGUUCAGAGAUCUCGACGUGCUGAUUUUCUGGUUUGUUUUACUUUUGUUUCGCUGUAUUUACAUUUUGAAAUUUUGUUACCGAUGUCAUUUAUCUGUAUAGUAAGUGUAGUUUAUGAAAACUAUGACAUAUACAUAUAGUUGAUACAUUUCAUGGUUAUGUUGUUUCUAUUUUAUGUAUGUUCCAGCCGUGUGGGCUGAUGAAUUUGUUGUUUAUGUUUAUAUAUUGUGAUGUAUGUAUGUAUGCUUCAUAUUGUCACCGGUACAGGGGAGAUGUUGCCGGAUUUUUAUCUGGCAGGGACUCCUCUGGAGGCGUGACAGGAGGUCUUCUGGCUUCCAAGCCUGAUAAAAAACAUGAUCAAUGGAUAAACUUUUGCGACCACCUUAGUUUGGAGAUACAAACUAAUGAUAUGCUGUCGAAGAUCCAUCAGAUACUGCUUUUGAGUUACAAUGACUUGUCUUACC